Myotis davidii is the source of this 102-nucleotide long non-coding RNA. RefSeq lists it as uncharacterized. NCBI's taxonomy places the organism in Eukaryota, Metazoa, Chordata, Mammalia, Chiroptera, Vespertilionidae. The record is from RefSeq and is a predicted model, not a curated record. The transcript is spliced from 4 exons.
GCCAGAAAGCUGGGGGGAGAGGGGUGGGGAGGGUUGGGCAUGAGGAGGGACCCUGGGCCUGGAGUUUGGGAAGAGAACCCUCGUGGAAAAGCCUGUGGCCUC